Molecule: non-coding RNA, 212 nt
Organism: Pelobates cultripes (western spadefoot toad)
Lineage: Eukaryota; Metazoa; Chordata; Amphibia; Anura; Pelobatidae
Source: the annotation of a GenBank genome assembly
AUUUGCAAAAGACAACCAAGGUAUUGCAAAUGUGUUAUUUUCAGUCUCUUUUAGUAGCCACUUAGUCACAAACACUGGCCAAAGUUAGCAUUCAUAAUUGUUUUUAACACACAAAUAUAAAUGCUUACUUUGGCCAGUGUUUGUGACUAAGUGGCAAAGAAAAAAGAAUGGAUAUAUCCUAUAUUGAAUACCCUGGGUUGUCUACUUUAAAC